AUUUGGUUUGCGAGAAGGCUGUACUUGAAGGCAAGGAUGACCGUGGUGAACCUUGUGUUAUUGUUUCUUCCGAACACGUUGAUGUUUCGCGACAAAGCGAGUUGAAUUUAAAAUCUCCACCAGAUGACACCAUCAAUCAGACUAAAAAAAAUGCAAGUGAAUCGAUUGCUGAAUUCAAAUCAAAGGAGUCUGGUCCUUCUUCAAGCCGCUUCAUACCGACGCAAACUGGUUGUAAAGUCCGUAUUUGUCCAUUUGAUGCUAAUCACAUUUUAUUCAGUGAUGCCACCAAACAAGACAUCAUUCAUAAUUGGCUGGAAGAAGGACGUCCUAAAGGGGCCAAGUUCGUAUCUCGACUAACUUUUUUCAGUUCUGUUUUAAU
Molecule: long non-coding RNA, 379 nt
Organism: Mercurialis annua (annual mercury)
Lineage: Eukaryota; Viridiplantae; Streptophyta; Magnoliopsida; Malpighiales; Euphorbiaceae
Exons: 3
Source: RefSeq, a predicted model, not a curated record